This 451-nucleotide ribosomal RNA is filed under the name uncultured bacterium. Its description in RNAcentral is "bacterial SSU rRNA". It matches the Rfam family "Bacterial small subunit ribosomal RNA", at positions 354 to 796 of the family's 1533-position model. The record is from RNAcentral.
GUGGGGAAUAUUGCGCAAUGGGCGAAAGCCUGACGCAGCGACGCCGCGUGGGUGAUGAAGGCCUUCGGGUCGUAAAGCCCUGUCGGGAGGGAAGAAAUCUCAUCGACCUAACACGUCGGUGACUUGACGGUACCUCCUAAGGAAGCACCGGCUAACUCCGUGCCAGCAGCCGCGGUAAUACGGAGGGUGCAAGCGUUGUUCGGAAUUACUGGGCGUAAAGCGCGUGUAGGCGGCCUCUUGAGUUCGGUGUGAAAGCCCGGGGCUCACCCCCGGAAGGGCACCGGAUACUGGGAGGCUCGAGUACCGGAGAGGAGGGUGGAAUUCCUGGUGUAGCGGUGAAAUGCGUAGAUAUCAGGAGGAACACCGGUGGCGAAGGCGGCCCUCUGGACGGAUACUGACGCUGAGACGCGAAAGCGUGGGGAGCAAACAGGAUUAGAAACCCCAGUAGUCC